CCUACGGGAGGCAGCAGUGGGGAAUAUUGCACAAUGGGCGAAAGCCUGAUGCAGCCAUGCCGCGUGUAUGAAGAAGGCCUUCGGGUUGUAAAGUACUUUCAGUUGUGAGGAAGGGUGUGUAGUUAAUAACUGCGCAUCUUGACGUUAGCAACAGAAGAAGCACCGGCUAACUCCGUGCCAGCAGCCGCGGUAAU
Molecule: ribosomal RNA, 194 nt
Filed under: uncultured Vibrio sp.
Lineage: Bacteria; Pseudomonadati; Pseudomonadota; Gammaproteobacteria; Vibrionales; Vibrionaceae
Description: partial 16S ribosomal RNA
Rfam family: Bacterial small subunit ribosomal RNA
Source: RNAcentral